RNAcentral lists this ribosomal RNA (1155 nucleotides) under Triticum aestivum (bread wheat). RNAcentral's name for it is "partial small subunit ribosomal RNA". The record is from RNAcentral. Lineage: Eukaryota; Viridiplantae; Streptophyta; Magnoliopsida; Poales; Poaceae.
AAUAGACAAGAGGGCAAACGUAAUAUCAGGGUCAGAUUGGAUAGGGUUGUUGCCAAUGGGGAUUUCAUGCAGAUUUUUGACGAUUGCACAGUAGAGAACAUCAUCACCACCACUUCGGAUCAUUAUGCCAUUUUGGUGACAAUAGCGAGAAGAGAUGAAAAGGUCCGCAAUGAACCAAUCCAACAGUCCUUCAAGUUUGAAGCAGCAUGGAUGAGAGCCUCUGAUUAUGAUCAUAUGAUUGAGGAAUAUUGGAAGGUGCACAAAGGAGGCAUUACUUCUAUAGAUAACACAUGGUCUGCUCUUAAUAAAUUGUCAUGCAGCUUGCAAGAGUGGAGCAGAGUCUCUUUUGGCUCAAUUAAAAAGGAGAUAAGGAAACUAGAGAAAAGGCUAACUAGUAUCCGUAGAAAUAAUAUUGUGUGCAACAACUCAGACGAAGAAAGAAAUAUAGAGAAGAGACUGAGUGAGUUGUUUGAAAGAGAAGAGAUCAUGGCUAGACAACGGUCUAGGGUAGAAUGGCUCCGUAAUACCUCUUUCUUCCAUGCUCGAGCUUCAGCAAGAAGAAGAAAUAACAUAAUCAAAUUUCUUCGUAAAGUUGAUGGAUCUAGAUGUGAAGACUCUGAGGGCAUCAAAGACAUGGUAUAUGAUUUCUAUACCUCACUUUUCACCUCUGAACCCUCAGUUUCAAUUGAUGCAGUACUUGAAGCUAUACCAAAGAAAGUUACUGAACAAAUGAAUGAAGCCCUAUGUCGAGAGUACACAAAUGAUGAAAUCAAGGCUGCUCUUUUCCAAAUGGGACCUACUAAGGCCCUAGGGCCUGAUGGUUUCCCGACACUCUUUUAUCAAAAACAUUGGGACCUACUGGAAGAAGACAUAUGUGCUGCUGUAAAAGGAUUUCUUAUGGGCCAUGACAUUCCAGAAGGUUUCUGCGACUCGGAAAAAGAAGAAUCAGGGGAGUUGAAAGGUAUUCGCAAUGGGAAAACAUGCCCUUCUAUUUCACAUCUCCUAUUUGCUGAUGACAGCGUGUUCUUCAUCAGGGAGACGAUAAAAGUGUUAAUGCGCUUAAAUCUGUAUUACAUAUCUAUUGUGAUGGUUCUGGGCAGAGAAUCAACAUGCAAAAGUCGUCCAUAUUCUUUGGCCCUCACUGUGAGGAAUUAG